GAUGAACGCAGGCGGCGUGCUUAACACAUGCAAGUCGAACGGUGAAGCAGGAGCUUGCUCUUGUGGAUCAGUGGCGAACGGGUGAGUAACACGUGAGCAACCUGCCCCUGACUCUGGGAUAAGCGCUGGAAACGGCUGCUAAUACCCCAUAGGCUGAGGAGCAAAAGGAGGAAUCCGCCCAAGGAGGGGCUCGCGUCUGAUUAGUUAGUUGGUGAGGCAAUGGCUUACCAAGGCGACGAUCAGUAGCUGGUCCGAGAGGAUGAUCAGCCACACUGGGACUGAGACACGGCCCAGACUCCUACGGGAGGCAGCAGUGGGGAAUUUUCCGCAAUGGGCGAAAGCCUGACGGAGCAAUGCCGCGUGAAGGCAGAAGGCCCACGGGCCAUGUACUUCUUUUCUCGGAGAAGAAAAAAUGCCGGUAUCUGAGGAAUAAGCAUCGGCUAACUCUGUGCCAGCAGCCGCGGUAA
RNAcentral lists this ribosomal RNA (467 nucleotides) under uncultured bacterium. Its description in RNAcentral is "partial 16S ribosomal RNA". It matches the Rfam family "Bacterial small subunit ribosomal RNA", at positions 28 to 523 of the family's 1533-position model. The record is from RNAcentral.